RNAcentral lists this long non-coding RNA (704 nucleotides) under Nicotiana benthamiana. RNAcentral's name for it is "long non-coding RNA (NBEN_LNC015546)". Lineage: Eukaryota; Viridiplantae; Streptophyta; Magnoliopsida; Solanales; Solanaceae. The record is from RNAcentral.
UUAAUCUGAAAUUGAACGUCUAAUAGCCGAACUAACACUUACUAACCUAUAAUCUGUGUCACAUUUAGAAUAUCAUAUGAAUCUAAAAUAGUUCAUACAUUCCAGUUUAGUUACAACAUUUAACUACUAAAAUAAAAUUUAACUAAGCUAAAUUGAAUAAAUGCGGAUAACAUGAACAUCAGGCAAAUAGUAAUAUGAUUUACAUUUCAAAUUCUCAAAUCAGAUACACAUCACCAUCGUUUAGAACUUGUACCUGGAAGUUGCAAUAUAAGAAGAAAAGGAAAGGUCAGCAGCAAUAAAUGACAAGCAGCAGGGCUCAACAAUGACAACAGGAGCAAUUUCAGAACCAAAAUGACACCACAAAACCCUGAAAAUCAACCCAGCAAUUAUCAAAUUCAGCAAAUAACCAAAAAACCCACUUGAGAAAACCAAAUUCAACUUAAAAAGGAAUCCAAAACUUUAAAACUCCAAUUGUUGAACAAAACUAGGUAAAUCCAAGCUAUUUUGGAUCUUAGAUGAGCUGGAAUAAGGAAAACUUCAAUGGAAUAGUAUAUUUUUUUGGGUUUCUGCUAUUUUUUUUGUAUUUUUGAAGAGCUAAAUUAUAGAAUGAAAUUCCUAACUCUAAAAUUUCAGAUCUGGUUUGAAUUUCAAAUUCAAUAUUUUCAACUUCUAAACUUGUAGAGACUUUUUGGGGGGGAUUUCAG